UACGUAGGGGGCUAGCGUUGUCCGGAAUCAUUGGGCGUAAAGCGCGUGUAGGCGGCCCGGUAAGUCCGCUGUGAAAGUCGGGGGCUCAACCCUCGGAUGCCGGUGGAUACUGUCGGGCUAGAGUGCGGAAGAGGCGAGUGGAAUUCCUGGUGUAGCGGUGAAAUGCGCAGAUAUCGGGAGGAACACCAAUGGCGAAGGCAGCUCGCUGGGACGUUACUGACGCUGAGACGCGAAAGCGUGGGGAGCAAACAGG
RNAcentral lists this ribosomal RNA (253 nucleotides) under uncultured bacterium. RNAcentral describes it as "partial 16S ribosomal RNA". It matches the Rfam family "Bacterial small subunit ribosomal RNA", at positions 524 to 776 of the family's 1533-position model. The record is from RNAcentral.